GAGUGAUCACAGUUUUUGAGAAUCAUGAUGAGGCAUUAAAGAAGAGGAGGAGUGUCUCAAGGGAGGUGAGCUGGAGGUGAUGCAAGGACUGCUUCCUUGCCAAACCCUCGCGUCCACUCCCCAACACACUUUGUGCUAAUUAAUGGCAUUUCAUCGCUUGAUUUUGAAAAAUGAAAGUGUGAACUACUUGUGAAAGAGCUCUUAGCAAGAUAAGAAAGAAAAAAUGACUCCUUAUCUCCCUAACCUACAGAAAAGCUGAAAAGCGUCUGGCACAUAUGAGCCUCAGACUCAGGGCUGGGACCCUUGGGACUCAAAAGAGAGAAAAGGUGGAGAAAAGAGAAAGCUACUAUUUUCUUCAUUUUGCCCCUGCUAACAUCCAAUGCACUUAGGAGCCUCGAUGUCUGCUCUCCAAGAGAUGUCUGAUCUGAAAGCAUGUUGUGGUCCGCUACACACAAGAGCAAAAGAAGAGCAGGAAGGAGCUCAGUGCCAAGACCAUAGCCACAGGAAGAAAACCAGCUCUUAGGGCUGCAGCUCUAAAGACAGGCCAGGUCAUUACAGGAACGUCUGCUCCCUUAGCCUUGCCAGACAGAGGAGGGUUAAGAAAGGAACUGCUGACCCUGAUAUGCAAACUGCCACGAGUGCUUCCUGCCUUUCUAUCAGCAUCAGAUGGCUAGCGAUGGAUGGCUGUAAGAUUGAUGUAAUUAACAUUUUAUUUUCAGGGCCACAGUGCUGGUUGGGUGCACCAGACAAAUCAACCAACAGAUUAAAGAGUGAUGGA
RNAcentral lists this long non-coding RNA (778 nucleotides) under Homo sapiens (human). RNAcentral describes it as "TRD antisense RNA 1". The record is from RNAcentral. Lineage: Eukaryota; Metazoa; Chordata; Mammalia; Primates; Hominidae.